This is a long non-coding RNA of Piliocolobus tephrosceles (Ugandan red Colobus), 1716 nucleotides long. RefSeq lists it as uncharacterized. The transcript is spliced from 2 exons. The record is from RefSeq and is a predicted model, not a curated record. Lineage: Eukaryota; Metazoa; Chordata; Mammalia; Primates; Cercopithecidae. The annotation marks the transcript as partial.
GUUGCCACACCGGGUGCUGCGGGCUGCAGAGGGAACAAAGCCCAGCGCUCUCGGGGACAGAGGUGGGCCGGGAACAGGAAAGGGGGCCUCUUCCCGACACGCCCUCCUCUCUCUCCUGCCGGGCUCCCGUUCCUAUUACCUGUUCUUCUCGUCUCUGUCAUCAUCCACUCCGCUCUUCGGCAGAGACAGGAUCCGCCGCUUUGUCUCUGUCUGGUCCGAGCCGGCAGCUCUGUGGAGCCUGUGGAUCCCCUUGUCCGGGUGGUGGCGCCCGGGCUGGGAGGAGGCGUGGUCCGCACUCUAUCUCCCGGCGCCCGCGCCCACCUUCCCCGGGCUGCUGACCGAGCCGCCGGGCAGCUUGCCCUUCCCGCUCCUGAAGCCAGAGGUCUUCUUCAUGGCUGCGUCUGCAGGCUUCGGAGACCCGCUGGACUUUUCGCCGCCUCCGGAACCCUGUAUGAGGAAGCAAAUCGCGUCCGCCACAGCCUCCAACCAAAAAACUCCGCGACGCUCAGCCUCUCAGAAGAGAAACAGAGACGCGCCAAGCAAAGCCGUUACACGGCCUGUGCACGCGCCCCCGGUGUCCCUGCGCGUGACACAAAGUUGGCCCCGAGGGAGCUCCGUGUGCCUGAGUCCCAGGAGCCCUAGAUGCCAGCGACAGCUUGUGACCAGGACUGCGACGCCGUCCAGGGGGCGGGAGUCGGCGGAGCUCAGGACACUGACGAUGGGCCGGGGCGGGAGGAAAGCUGUCCGCACACAGCCUGGGGCCAGAGGAGCGGCCUGCCAGGGCCAGACGGAGGAAGACCACGGGAAGCAGGCUGGACGUGCAGGGAAGGGUGUCAUGAGGACUGGGCAUGGGCCUAUCAGGGCCAUGGGCAUGAUGUCAGCCAAGGAACUCAUGGCCUGCCUCUGCCAAGAGACCAGCGCCUCAUCCUGAGCACUCCCAGCCUCGCAUCACCUUCCCCCUGGCUACAUUCAGCUGCCAUGCCCCUACCUCCUUGUGUGGUCAGCACCCUCCAGGACUUCAUCUCGGGGCACCCAAAGGCUGAGGACAUUGCUGGCCAGCAGGAAAUUCAUGGUGCAUCCAGGAAGACUUCCAAGAGGUGGUGGAGCAGGGGAUGCCACACCCAGACAGCUGCGUGUAAUUGUGCAGCUGCGGGCUGCUGCGGGUGCUGGCUGGCAGUGCAUUCUGGGCACACUGGACUGUGUCACCAUGUGCAGACUGUGACUGGAGGAGGAACUGCUGGCCUCCAAGACGUAUGUGCCUGGAAACCAGCGGAGGGCUGCUGCAGGAGGAGGGCUGCAGGAUGGUCUAGCUCAGACCCGACUCAGAGUUUUAGAGGGCACAGGGCAUAAGGCUGUGGACAUAGACAGCCCUACUGCGUAGGAAGAGCAUAAACCAGCCAGAGGGCAUGCAUGGGGCCUGCGGUUGCAUUCUGGUCUCCUUUGAGGUAAGGAAGGAUGUUUUUCUAUUUUAUGGGUGAGCAAACUGAGGCAGAGUGCUGGAGUGAUUUCCCCCAGCAGCGAUGGCAGAUUUAGCUCCAGGGCUUCAAUUUUAGGAUCCUCCCUCUCAAAUACCAUGAUGUAUCAUGGACUUUCUCUCCACAGAAACUUAGAAACUCAGAAAUGGAAAGGGAACAAUGAAACUUACCCUUUCUCCCACUGCUCACAUUCCUUCUGGUCUUUUUGUGUGUGCAUAUAAAAUAUAUCUCAGAAAAUUGA